Long non-coding RNA from Sebastes umbrosus (honeycomb rockfish), 186 nucleotides. RefSeq lists it as uncharacterized. The record is from RefSeq and is a predicted model, not a curated record. The transcript has 2 exons. Lineage: Eukaryota; Metazoa; Chordata; Actinopteri; Perciformes; Sebastidae.
UUUAAGUUUACACUGUCGUGAAAGAGAAGGUAAGAAAGACGUUUAAAUAACAAGAUGAGCAUGAUGUAAAGUUGAUGAAUAAAAACACCUGUCUGGUCCUUUAAAGGUCACUUCUCUCUGUUUCACUGUUGUUUUUACAGUUCAAACGAGGAAAAGAAACAUUUUCACUUCAACGUGACAGUUUUU